UAUGCAGGUGGACCGAUUGUAGGUCAAAGG
Molecule: non-coding RNA, 30 nt
Filed under: Mus musculus (house mouse)
Lineage: Eukaryota; Metazoa; Chordata; Mammalia; Rodentia; Muridae
Source: RNAcentral